This is a non-coding RNA of Xenorhabdus vietnamensis, 125 nucleotides long. The record is from Rfam. Lineage: Bacteria; Pseudomonadati; Pseudomonadota; Gammaproteobacteria; Enterobacterales; Morganellaceae.
AUAAUACUAAGGUGCAAUUUAAAGGAAAAGUAAACGAUGAUCCAUCAUCAACUCUACGUUAGAAUGAUAGAUUAGCAGGUAAAUAUGUAUGUGAACUUCAGAUUAUGCUGGGUUUACACUCCUUU